Molecule: transfer RNA, 91 nt
Filed under: Streptomyces aurantiogriseus
Lineage: Bacteria; Bacillati; Actinomycetota; Actinomycetes; Kitasatosporales; Streptomycetaceae
Description: tRNA-Pro(agg)
Source: RNAcentral
ACGCGUUUGGUACGCGAAACAUGCGCUUCACGCUAGGGUUGUGGGGGAGGAGGUGCUGCAUGUCCGAGCUGUUCGACGCGGUCGACGCGCU